This 588-nucleotide ribosomal RNA is filed under the name uncultured bacterium. Its description in RNAcentral is "bacterial SSU rRNA". It matches the Rfam family "Bacterial small subunit ribosomal RNA", at positions 338 to 916 of the family's 1533-position model. The record is from RNAcentral.
CCUACGGGAGGCAGCAGUGGGGAAUAUUGCGCAAUGGGGGAAACCCUGACGCAGCAACGCCGCGUGAGUGAGGAAGGACUUCGGUCUGUAAAGCUCUGUUAAUGAGGAAAAAUGGUAGUUGGUCUAAUAGGCCGAUUAUUUGAUGGUACUCAUAGAGGAAGCACCGGCUAACUUCGUGCCAGCAGCCGCGGUAAUACGAAGGGUGCAAGCGUUGUUCGGAUUUAUUGGGCGUAAAGCGCGCGUAGGCGGACCUGCAAGUAAGAUGUGAAAUCUCGAGGCUCAACCUCGAAACUGCGUCUUAAACUACAGGUCUAGAAUCUCGGAGGGGGAAGGGGAAUUUCGCAUGUAGGGGUAAAAUCUGUAGAUAUGCGAAGGAACACCAGAGGCGAAGGCGCCUUCCUGGACGAGUAUUGACGCUGAGGCGCGAAAGCGUGGGGAUCAAACAGGAUUAGAUACCCUGGUAGUCCACGCUGUAAACGAUGAACACUAGGUAUUGGAGGAUUUGACCCCUUCAGUGCCGUAGCUAACGCGUUAAGUGUUCCGCCUGGGAAGUACGGUCGCAAGACUAAAACUCAAAGGAAUUGACGG